This 460-nucleotide ribosomal RNA is filed under the name uncultured bacterium. RNAcentral describes it as "partial 16S ribosomal RNA". It matches the Rfam family "Bacterial small subunit ribosomal RNA", at positions 338 to 795 of the family's 1533-position model. The record is from RNAcentral.
CCUACGGGUGGCAGCAGUGAGGAAUAUUGGUCAAUGGCCGCAAGGCUGAACCAGCCAAGUAGCGUGAGGGAAGACUGCCCUAUGGGUUGUAAACCUCUUUUAUGCGGGGAUAAAAGUGUCCACGUGUGGAUGUUUGCAGGUACCUGCAAAGGAAGCACCGGCUAACUCCGUGCCAGCAGCCGCGGUAAUACGGAGGGUGCGAGCGUUAAUCGGAAUUACUGGGCGUAAAGCGCACGUAGGCGGUAGGUCAAGUCAAGGGUGAAAUCCCCGCGCUCAACGUGGGAACUGCCUUUGAAACUGGCAACGUUGAGUGUGUGAGAGGCUAGUGGAAUUCCAGGUGUAGGAGUGAAAUCCGUAGAUAUCUGGAGGAACAUCAGUGGCGAAGGCGACUUUCUGGCACAUAACUGACGCUGAGGAGCGAAAGCGUGGGUAGCAAACAGGAUUAGAUACCCGGGUAGUC